GGACGGGUGAGUAACACGUGGAUAACCUACCUAUAAGACUGGGAUAACUUCGGGAAACCGGAGCUAAUACCGGAUAAUAUAUUGAACCGCAUGGUUCAAUAGUGAAAGACGGUUUUGCUGUCACUUAUAGAUGGAUCCGCGCCGCAUUAGCUAGUUGGUAAGGUAACGGCUUACCAAGGCAACGAUGCGCAGCCGACCUGAGAGGGUGAUCGGCCACACUGGAACUGAGACACGGUCCAG
This 240-nucleotide ribosomal RNA is filed under the name uncultured Staphylococcus sp. Its description in RNAcentral is "partial 16S ribosomal RNA". It matches the Rfam family "Bacterial small subunit ribosomal RNA", at positions 100 to 334 of the family's 1533-position model. The record is from RNAcentral. Lineage: Bacteria; Bacillati; Bacillota; Bacilli; Caryophanales; Staphylococcaceae.